Long non-coding RNA from Sinocyclocheilus rhinocerous, 207 nucleotides. RefSeq lists it as uncharacterized. The transcript is spliced from 3 exons. The record is from RefSeq and is a predicted model, not a curated record. Lineage: Eukaryota; Metazoa; Chordata; Actinopteri; Cypriniformes; Cyprinidae.
ACGCUCUCGACGGCGGCGGUGUGAACGCACAGUAAGGUUCCCCCCACUAUGACAACACAAAAUCAGCAUGGAGACCGCCGGCCGCACGCGAUCUACCCUGUAGUUACAAAUCUGGCAGCUCUGCUGAGACAAAUCAUUCUAUUUUCAAGGUGUUCUGCAUAAAUGCAAAGAAAACUAUUGGGUAAAGUGCCACAACCCAUCCAGUGG